Molecule: non-coding RNA, 73 nt
Organism: Cordylochernes scorpioides
Lineage: Eukaryota; Metazoa; Arthropoda; Arachnida; Pseudoscorpiones; Chernetidae
Source: the annotation of a GenBank genome assembly
GGGGCCAUGCGGGAAUCGAACCCGGGUCGUAGCGGUCGAGAACCAACAGUUUAGACCAUCCUUCCAACGACCC